AUGGACUGGACCGCUGACAGAUUA
RNAcentral lists this non-coding RNA (24 nucleotides) under Arabidopsis thaliana (thale cress). The record is from RNAcentral. Lineage: Eukaryota; Viridiplantae; Streptophyta; Magnoliopsida; Brassicales; Brassicaceae.